CUCGCAUUCACAAAAGCGUUCACAGUGAGUGCCUCUGGCGGGCACGGGCCCCGGGGGCACACCGCGCCCCGGGACGACCCCCCCGGCGGAACACCGGAGGAGUGGGCCCGCCAAAGCAACACUAGGUGUGGUAGACACGGGUGGGAGAUUGGGACCCGACUGGGUUCCCGCACUCGGUAAUGAUCCCUUCCGGAAAGGGGACCUGCGGAAGGAUCAUUACCGAGUGCGGGAACCCAGUCGGGUCCCAAUCUCCCACCCGUGUCUACCACACCUAGUGUUGCUUUGGCGGGCCCACUCCUCCGGUGUUCCGCCGGGGGGGUCGUCCCGGGGCGCGGUGUGCCCCCGGGGCCCGUGCCCGCCAGAGGCACUCACUGUGAACGCUUUUGUGAAUGCGAGGAUUGUCUGAGUGACGAAAUGCAAUCGUUCAAAACUUUCAACAAUGGAUCUCUUGGUUCCGGCAUCGAUGAAGAACGCAGCGAAAUGCGAUAAGUAAUGUGAAUUGCAGAAUUCCGUGAAUCAUCGAAUCUUUGAACGCACAUUGCGCCCUCUGGUAUUCCGGGGGGCAUGCCUGUCCGAGCGUCAUUGCGAACCCUCAAGCACGGCUUGUGUGUUGGGCCGCCGUCCCCUCGUUUGGAGGGGACGGGCCUGAAAGGCAGCGGCGGCGUCGCGUCCGGUCCUCGAGCGUAUGGGGCUCUGUCACGCGCUCAAGGAGGGGUCCGGCCGGGGCCAUAGCCUCUGAAGGUCAAUUCUUCCAAGGUUGACCUCGGAUCAGGUAGGAGUACCCGCUGAACUUAAGCAUAUCAAUAAGCCGGAGGAAAGAUCAUUACCGAGUGCGGGAACCCAGUCGGCGUCCAAUCUCCACCCGUGUCUACCACACCUAGAUGUUGCUUUGGCGGGUCCACUCCUCCGGUGUUCCGCCGGGGGGGGUCGUCCCGGGGCGCGGAUGAUGCCCCGGGUGCCGUGCCGCCAGAUGCACUCACUGCUCAACGCUUUAUGUGUAAUGCUGAGGAAUCUGUC
This 1017-nucleotide ribosomal RNA is filed under the name Thermomyces lanuginosus. Its description in RNAcentral is "eukaryotic LSU rRNA". The stretch from base 429 to 582 matches the Rfam family "5.8S ribosomal RNA". The record is from RNAcentral. Lineage: Eukaryota; Fungi; Ascomycota; Eurotiomycetes; Eurotiales; Trichocomaceae.